This 225-nucleotide ribosomal RNA is filed under the name uncultured bacterium. Its description in RNAcentral is "partial 16S ribosomal RNA". It matches the Rfam family "Bacterial small subunit ribosomal RNA", at positions 524 to 746 of the family's 1533-position model. The record is from RNAcentral.
UACGAAGGGGGGCUAGCGUUGCUCGGAAUUACUGGGCGUAAAGGGCGCGUAGGCGGAUGUUUAAGUCGGGGGGUGAAAGCCCAGGGCUCAACCCUGGAAUUGCCUUCGAUACUGGACAUCUUGAGUGCGGGAGAGGUGAGUGGAACUCCGAGUGUAGAGGUGAAAAUUUCGUAGAUAUUCGGAAGAACACCAGUGGCGAAGGCGACUCACUGGCCCUUCUGACGC